RNAcentral lists this ribosomal RNA (750 nucleotides) under uncultured bacterium. RNAcentral describes it as "bacterial SSU rRNA". It matches the Rfam family "Bacterial small subunit ribosomal RNA", at positions 60 to 823 of the family's 1533-position model. The record is from RNAcentral.
AGUCGAACGAGCGAGAGAGAGCUUGCUUUCUCGAGCGAGUGGCGAACGGGUGAGUAACGCGUGAGGAACCUGCCUCAAAGAGGGGGACAACAGUUGGAAACGACUGCUAAUACCGCAUAAGCCCACGGCUCGGCAUCGAGCAGAGGGAAAAGGAGCAAUCCGCUUUGAGAUGGCCUCGCGUCCGAUUAGCUAGUUGGUGAGGUAAUGGCCCACCAAGGCAACGAUCGGUAGCCGGACUGAGAGGUUGAACGGCCACAUUGGGACUGAGACACGGCCCAGACUCCUACGGGAGGCAGCAGUGGGGAAUAUUGCACAAUGGGGGAAACCCUGAUGCAGCGACGCCGCGUGGAGGAAGAAGGUCUUCGGAUUGUAAACUCCUGUUGUUGAGGAAGAUAAUGACGGUACUCAACAAGGAAGUGACGGCUAACUACGUGCCAGCAGCCGCGGUAAAACGUAGGUCACAAGCGUUGUCCGGAAUUACUGGGUGUAAAGGGAGCGCAGGCGGGAAGACAAGUUGGAAGUGAAAUCUAUGGGCUCAACCCAUAAACUGCUUUCAAAACUGUUUUUCUUGAGUAGUGCAGAGGUAGGCGGAAUUCCCGGUGUAGCGGUGGAAUGCGUAGAUAUCGGGAGGAACACCAGUGGCGAAGGCGGCCUACUGGGCACCAACUGACGCUGAGGCUCGAAAGUGUGGGUAGCAAACAGGAUUAGAUACCCUGGUAGUCCACACCGUAAACGAUGAUUACUAGGUGU